This is a small nucleolar RNA of Osmerus eperlanus (European smelt), 134 nucleotides long. RefSeq annotates it as small nucleolar RNA SNORA8. The record is from RefSeq and is a predicted model, not a curated record. The transcript has a single exon. NCBI's taxonomy places the organism in Eukaryota, Metazoa, Chordata, Actinopteri, Osmeriformes, Osmeridae.
AGCACCAUGGUAUCUGCAGCCAGUGGCUUCUCCCUCUGGUCUGUUCAUAACUCGGUGCAAGAACAAUUUGACAUCAAGCAUCGUUGGUCUCCAUGCUCUGUGCCUGGAGUCCUGGUAUAUAUGUCAAUACAUUU